GAUCCUCCCAGCGCCUUCCUUUCUCCAUCCCCUAAUCCAGAUCUCUCUUCCCCCAGCAACUAACUUCCUCCGUCCCCUCACCGAAGGCAAGCACAUCCCCAACAAGUCCACCAUGCCCAGGCCGCGCUGGGCCGCCGAGGGGUCUGCAUCGACCGGUCGCCGGGGAGCAGCGCUGUGCCGGACGCUGCAACCGAAGGCCAAACGGCGCGAUGGCGGACGCGGUCUACAGCGCCAGCGGGAUGGCUUCCGCUUCAGCCGCGACCAGUGCCCGUGUAGCUGCAGGGCGCUUGCCGCCUCGACGACGGCCUCGUCCAUAUAGGCGGCGACGCCCCUGAAGGCCGACCUGGCGCCGGUGCCGUUGCUGUGUCCUGUGCCCGAGUCGCUGCAGGGCGCGAGCGGCUCCCUCGUGGGCUUGCCGGACCGAGGGAACCACGACGGGCUCGCGCACUUGGAUGGGCCUGGCGCGACAGUAUACCCGACGGGCGUGCUCGAGGUCGCCAAGGUACUGCGGCGGCGACGGGCUCGUGACCCCCUCCACAUCCACGCAUCCAAACUACAGGCCGGCGCGGACGCGAGCUAGAUGGCUUUGGAAACCGAAGCGGUGGCGUGCUCGUGAUCCCCUCCCAUGCGUGUUUGAGGAGCGUGAAUCCAGGGGCAGCAUACGCGGCGAGAUCCCAUCCUAGGCGUCCUUCCGUGGUGGAAGAUGAUGGCUGGUAGUGGAUCUGGUGGAUCCUAGCCUAAUAAGCUCGAAGCCGUGAUGUUGUACUCUGCUUUCAUAUGAAUACGACUACGCUCUCUCAAGAAAAAUCAACGUGCUUACUUGGCUGUGAUUUGUGUUUUUGUAUAAUUUUUUAGUGGGUUUCAUUUUCCUUUACUUUUGGCUGUAACUCUAAUUUUUUAUUUUAAUGGUAUGAGCAGAAAUCUAAAAUGUAUGUGCUUGAAAUGUUAACAGACAAACCAUAAUAGGUAUUUCCCCGCAAAAGAAAC
RNAcentral lists this ribosomal RNA (987 nucleotides) under Triticum aestivum (bread wheat). RNAcentral describes it as "partial small subunit ribosomal RNA". The record is from RNAcentral. Lineage: Eukaryota; Viridiplantae; Streptophyta; Magnoliopsida; Poales; Poaceae.